Quercus lobata is the source of this 1550-nucleotide long non-coding RNA. RefSeq lists it as uncharacterized. NCBI's taxonomy places the organism in Eukaryota, Viridiplantae, Streptophyta, Magnoliopsida, Fagales, Fagaceae. The transcript has 10 exons. The record is from RefSeq and is a predicted model, not a curated record.
GAGUGCUCCUCACACACAAACAUAUCCAGUUUUUUUUUUUUUUUUCCUCUCUCUCUCUGAGAAACAUUCACCGCCGGUGUGGCUUCGCCGGAAAAUUCACCCACUUCCGACCGAAUAUCCAUGGUCUGGUCAGUUUCCCGGUCAUCGUCGAAGAUGUUACUCUGAAUAAUAUUCUUAAAUACUUCGUUGAGACGUAAACAACGUGCGGUGAAAGUGAAAGUUGAAUCGCAAAGCAAAAAUGUCCCAAACUUCCGCCUUCUGUUGCUUGCUGCCCUCGCCCCUUGUACACCACCGCUCGAUGCCACCGUUCUGGGAGUUCACCCUCUCCUCUCUCUUUGUCACGACAUUCUUAGGUUUUCCUAGUGGAGGUUUUGACUUUGGAUGCUCCGCCUUGCAAUGCUUUGUACCAGAAAUCCCUCUCUUUGUGUGGCUUACAUAGACGAGGUUUUAGAUGGAAAGGGAAGACAUGGCAAGAAAAUUUGCUAUUCAGUAUUGGUCAAGGCAAUUGGCAAUGUUGACCAGGAAAUAUAUUGCAUAAAGUUUCCAGGACCAGUAAUGAUAAGGGGAAGGGAAGCCUGAGAGUCAAAAUCAUGGUAUAAUUUACACCAGAGGGGAAGCUGCAGGCCAUUGACGUGAACGCGUUGGACAAUUAUUUGGAAGAAGUUCUUAAAAUGCGCAACCUUUUGGAAGAAUUUAAGAAGGAUCAUGGAAUUCGUCUACAUACAAUUUUAGGUGUUAGGGAACAUAUCUUUAUUGAAAGCAUAUCUUCUUUGGCUUGGUUCAUGUCAGUUCAAGAUAGGAACUUUGUUUCCAUUGUCUAAAGAGUUCUUGCAAGACUUUUGAAGGUUCGGUUCCACUAUGGUCAUCCAGAGCUAUUUGACAGAAUAUUCCGCAUUACCCAUGGUGGCAUAAGCAAGGCUUCCUAGGGCAUCAAUCUAAGAGAGGACAUAAGUGAGGACAUUUAUACUGGCUUCAACUCAACAUUAAGAAAUGAAAACAUAAUUCAUCAUGAGCACAUCCAAGAUGCUAAGGGUAACAAUGUUGGGUUGAAGCAAAUUUGCCUCUAUGAAGCAAAGGUGGCUUGUGGCAGUGGAGAGUAGAUGCUUAGUCGGGGGUUGUGACAUCUACAGAUUAGUUGGUUCUUUCAACUUUUUUCGAAUGUUGUCCUGCUACUUUCCUACAGUGGGGUUAUAUUUCAAUUCCAUGGUUCUCUUGCUUUCUUUGUCCACUUCUGUGGAGCCCAGCUGCUAUUGUUUCUUCUUCGUUCUGAUAAUACUUGACAAUUACUUUCAUUGAUUCUACCAAUUUUAUUGGAAAAUGAAAGCCAAUUCCUUACCUGGGGUUUUGAAAUGGCUAUUCUUUCCUUGUAUCUCUUUACUUCUUUAGUACAUUGGAUUUAUGAAUUGCUACCAAAGGCAUAUGGAGUUGGAAUGAGAUUUUAGAUUGCCUCCUGUCCACACAAUGAAAACACUUCCCAUGGAAUAACCUUUUUUUCCUCGUUUAGUGUUGUAUUCAAGGCAAACAUAAUAAUAUAUACUUUCUUUUUUUAC